RNAcentral lists this ribosomal RNA (433 nucleotides) under uncultured bacterium. RNAcentral describes it as "partial 16S ribosomal RNA". It matches the Rfam family "Bacterial small subunit ribosomal RNA", at positions 29 to 507 of the family's 1533-position model. The record is from RNAcentral.
AACGAACGCUGGCGGCAUGCCUAACACAUGCAAGUCGAACGAGACCUUCGGGUCUAGUGGCGCACGGGUGCGUAACGCGUGGGAACCUGCCCUUAGGUUCGGAAUAACUCCCCGAAAGGGGUGCUAAUACCGGAUAAUGUCUUCGGACCAAAGAUUUAUCGCCUUUGGAUGGGCCCGCGUUGGAUUAGCUAGUUGGUAGGGUAAAAGCCUACCAAGGCGACGAUCCAUAGCUGGUCUGAAAGGAUGAUCAGCCACACUGGGACUGAGACACGGCCCAGACUCCUACGGGAGGCAGCAGUGGGGAAUAUUGGAAAACGGGCGAAAGCCUGAUCCAGCAAUGCCGCGUGAGUGAUGAAGGCCUUAGGGUUGUAAAGCUCUUUUAACCGGGAUGAUAAUGACAGUACCGGGAGAAUAAGCUCCGGCUAACUCCGUG